CCAAUAGCGUAUAUUAAAGUUGUUGCAGUUAAAAAGCUCGUAGUUGAAUUUCGGGAUUUAUCCGUCGGUCGGGCUUUUGGGUCUGUACUGGCGUGAUGAAUUCCUACCUUCUGAAUAACCAGCAUGCCAUUAAUUUGGUGCGCCGGGGAGGCAGGACUGUUACCUUGAAAAAAUUAGAGUGCUUAAAGCAGGCUAUUGCCUGAAUACAUUAGCAUGGAAUAAUGAAAUAGGACGGCAUGGUUCUAUUUUGUUGGUUUCUAGGAUCACCGUAAUGAUUAAUAGGGAUAGUUGGGGGCAUUAGUAUUCAAUUGUCAGAGGUGAAAUUCUUGGAUUUAUUGAAGACUAACUUCUGCGAAAGCAUUUGCCAAGGAUGUUUUCAUUAAUCAAGAACGAAAGUUAGGGGAUCGAAGACGAUCAGAUACCGUCGUAGUCUUAACCAUAAACUAUGCCGACUAGGGAUCGGACGAUGUUAAUUUUUUAAUGACUCGUUCGGCGCCUUACG
RNAcentral lists this ribosomal RNA (502 nucleotides) under uncultured Acaulospora. RNAcentral describes it as "SSU rRNA". It matches the Rfam family "Eukaryotic small subunit ribosomal RNA", at positions 591 to 1092 of the family's 1831-position model. The record is from RNAcentral. Lineage: Eukaryota; Fungi; Glomeromycota; Glomeromycetes; Diversisporales; Acaulosporaceae.